AGAGUCCUACGGGAGGCAGCAGUGAGGAAUAUUGGUCAAUGGGCGAGAGCCUGAACCAGCCAAGUCGCGUGAAGGAUGACGGCCCUACGGGUUGUAAACUUCUUUUGUCAGGGAGCAAUUGGGUCCACGCGUGGGCUUAGCGAGAGUACCUGAAGAAAAAGCAUCGGCUAACUCCGUGCCAGCAGCCGCGGUAAUACGGAGGAUGCGAGCGUUAUCCGGAGUUAUUGGGUUUAAAGGGUGCGUAGGCGGAGUAUCAAGUCAGCGGUAAAAAUUCGGGGCUCACACCCGUCGUGCUGUUGAAACUG
Molecule: ribosomal RNA, 305 nt
Filed under: uncultured bacterium
Lineage: Bacteria
Description: bacterial SSU rRNA
Rfam family: Bacterial small subunit ribosomal RNA
Source: RNAcentral